Molecule: transfer RNA, 73 nt
Filed under: Stegodyphus mimosarum
Lineage: Eukaryota; Metazoa; Arthropoda; Arachnida; Araneae; Eresidae
Rfam family: tRNA
About the family: Transfer RNA (tRNA) molecules are approximately 80 nucleotides in length. Their secondary structure includes four short double-helical elements and three loops (D, anti-codon, and T loops). Further hydrogen bonds mediate the characteristic L-shaped molecular structure. tRNAs have two regions of fundamental functional importance: the anti-codon, which is responsible for specific mRNA codon recognition, and the 3' end, to which the tRNAs corresponding amino acid is attached (by aminoacyl-tRNA synthetases). tRNAs cope with the degeneracy of the genetic code in two manners: having more than one tRNA (with a specific anti-codon) for a particular amino acid; and 'wobble' base-pairing, i.e. permitting non-standard base-pairing at the 3rd anti-codon position.
Source: Rfam by way of RNAcentral
GUCUUCGUGGUGUAGUGGUCAGCCCGCUCGACGCGUAAUCGAGAGGUCCGUGGUUCGAUUCCCAGCGAAGGCA